Molecule: long non-coding RNA, 1376 nt
Organism: Chelonia mydas (Green sea turtle)
Lineage: Eukaryota; Metazoa; Chordata; Testudines; Cheloniidae
Exons: 3
Source: RefSeq, a predicted model, not a curated record
GCAGUCCCCACCGGCAGACGGAAGAUUUGGCUACUGAAAGCCUGCCGCUGCGUCACUCGAAAGCCACUCUCAGCUUUGAAUUGCAUGGGAAUGGAUCAUUGGUGUUGGGCUAAGAUUCCUGAAAGAAGAUUCUCUGCAUGCUGUUUGUGGCUAUCUCUAUUCCAGGACUGGCACAGGUCAGACGGAAAGCAUCAGAGACCCUGAGCUGUGCAAGCCCUGGAAAGCUGCAGAUGUUGGCUCUAUGACAGUUCAGCUUUCAAAGGAAAUGAUGACCUGCUAUUUAGUGGCACCAAACGAAAAACAAAGCCAUCCAAACACAAUGGCUGGGUGUUCUGAGUGAUGACAAAACUGAUGCGCUGAGCUAACAAAUAAUAGUUACAAAUGUAUGUGGGGGUGUGGGAGAAACACCACCUCUUCUGAUUGCUGGUUGGUUAAGAGCGAGGGCUUCCGUCACAUUAAAAAAAAAAUUGAAUCUUACUGUAACGGUCCUUCAGAGUGACUGGAGGUGAUAAACCUUUGCCCAUAUUCCCCCCCAUCCCACACCUUUUUUUAAACUUUGAGACUGACUUCUCAUUUUCCAGCCAGGAAGAAAGUGAUGUCUAUUGGGCUAGGUCUUAUAUAAAACUUUUCUUUGGCUGGUUAAUAUUCUGUAAGCAGAGGAAGGACAUGCCCCUGAUCUUGGUGGAUGCACUGAGCAUACAUUUAAUUUUUGAUGAUUUGUACAUCUUUAAAUAUGUAAACUACAGCUGGGAUAUGUUAAUGUUGCUUCUUGUCAGUAUUAUAUGUUAUUUCACUGGAGGAUUUCCACUGCACCUUGCUGACACUGGUGAGACAGAAAAGAAGAUGCAGUAGUAGCCUGAGAUUUGAGAGGCCGGGUUUCAGUUCCUUGCUGUGUCACUCUUGCUAGAUGUUUGUGUACAGUGCUUAGCACAAUGGGCCCCAAGUCUUGUUUGGGCCUUCUAGGUACCUCCUGUAAUAUACAUAUAAUACAUUUACGGCAAGCUAAAUGGGUCAGAGCUUGCAUUCUGAAUUUCUGCAGGGGUGCCCCAAAAGUAAGCUUUGACAUUUGGAUUCAGAAGAUCUGAAUCAAAAUACCCUGGGCUGCGGUUUGGUUCCAGAUACACUGUAAUUUGCUAUAUUUUCACACAGAUUUCAACUUGUACCAAAUGAUUUAAAGAAAUAUUCAGCCAAUGUCCCUUUUAUCAUCGUAUGUCUUCUCUCAGAGGCCAUCAGUGUUAUUUUAUAAUAGCGGUGUCAGAUAUAGAUAACUGAUGUUAUAAAAGAAUGGAGAAUACAAAUGCAGCCAGAGUUGUUAAGCAAUGAGAUGGUGGUUUAAUAAUAGUCACUCUGUGGAACUGUAACUUACAUCAAAUAAA